This 130-nucleotide small nuclear RNA is filed under the name Felis catus (domestic cat). RNAcentral describes it as "U4 spliceosomal RNA (ENSFCAG00000053322.1, ENSFCTG00005024566.1)". It matches the Rfam family "U4 spliceosomal RNA". Rfam says of the family: U4 small nuclear RNA (U4 snRNA) is a component of the major U2-dependent spliceosome. The structure of U4 snRNA from yeast and human has been reported. U4 snRNA presents a k-turn RNA motif in the 5p-SL related to recognition of Snu13 protein. The record is from RNAcentral. Lineage: Eukaryota; Metazoa; Chordata; Mammalia; Carnivora; Felidae.
AGCUUUGUGCUGUAGCAGUAUCGCAGCUAAUGGGGUUUAUCCGAGUCACAAUUACUGCUAAGUCAAAAAUUAGUCUUCAAUAUUUAUAGCUUUAUCUAAAGAAUUUGGUUUUUGGCAUAAUAGUAUAAUU